This 253-nucleotide ribosomal RNA is filed under the name uncultured bacterium. RNAcentral's name for it is "partial 16S ribosomal RNA". It matches the Rfam family "Bacterial small subunit ribosomal RNA", at positions 524 to 776 of the family's 1533-position model. The record is from RNAcentral.
UACGUAGGUGGCAAGCGUUGUCCGGAUUUAUUGGGCGUAAAGGGUGCGUAGGUGGCGCCGUAAGUCAGGUGUGAAAUUUCGGAGCUUAACUCCGAAACUGCAUUUGAUACUGCGGUGCUUGAGGACUGGAGAGGAGACUGGAAUUUACGGUGUAGCAGUGAAAUGCGUAGAGAUCGUAAGGAAGACCAGUGGCGAAGGCGGGUCUCUGGACAGUUCCUGACACUGAGGCACGAAGGCCAGGGGAGCAAACGGG